GAUGAACGCUGGCGGCGUGCCUAAUACAUGCAAGUCGAGCGAACAGACGAGGAGCUUGCUCCUCUGACGUUAGCGGCGGACGGGUGAGUAACACGUGGAUAACCUACCUAUAAGACUGGGAUAACUUCGGGAAACCGGAGCUAAUACCGGAUAACAUGUUGAACCGCAUGGUUCAACAGUGAAAGACGGUUUUGCUGUCACUUAUAGAUGGAUCAGCGUCGCAUUAGCUAGUUGGUAAGGUAACGGCUUACCAAGGCAACGAUGCGUAGCCGACCUGAGAGGGUGAUCGGCCACACUGGAACUGAGACACGGUCCAGACUCCUACGGGAGGCAGCAGUAGGGAAUCUUCCGCGAUGGACGAAAGCCUGACGGAGCAACGCCGCGUGAGUGAAGAAGGUCUUCGGAUCGUAAAACUCUGUUAUUAGGGAAGAACAAAUGUGUAAGUACCUAUGCACGUCUUGACGGUACCUAAUCAGAAAGCCACGGCUAACUACGUG
Molecule: ribosomal RNA, 497 nt
Filed under: uncultured bacterium
Lineage: Bacteria
Description: partial 16S ribosomal RNA
Rfam family: Bacterial small subunit ribosomal RNA
Source: RNAcentral